UCAGACUUGAGGGCACACAGUUCAGG
This 26-nucleotide non-coding RNA is filed under the name Rattus norvegicus (Norway rat). The record is from RNAcentral. Lineage: Eukaryota; Metazoa; Chordata; Mammalia; Rodentia; Muridae.